CUCAAUGAAAUUCAAUAGCCGCAAAUACUUGUGCUAAGGUAGCAUAAUCAUUAGUCUUUUAAUUAAAGGCCAGAACGAAAGAUUUAACAUUUUAAUUUCUCUCUUAUAUAUAAACAUUAAAUCUAUUUUAAAUAUAAAAAAAUAUUUAUUAAAUAAAAAGACAACAAGACCCUAUUGAACUUUACUAAAGUUAAACUGGGGAAGUUAAUUAAAUAUAAUUUUAAUUUAUAUAUAAAAAAACUAAUUAAUUAUAAAUCAAGUUACCCUAGGGAUAACAGCGUAAUAAUUUUUUAAAGAUCUUAUUUAAAAAACUGCUUACGACCUCGAUGUUGAAUUAAUAAUCUAUUUUAUGAAACAAUUUAAUAAGAAAGUC
RNAcentral lists this ribosomal RNA (373 nucleotides) under Coelotes sp. CL029. RNAcentral describes it as "partial 16S ribosomal RNA". The record is from RNAcentral. Lineage: Eukaryota; Metazoa; Arthropoda; Arachnida; Araneae; Agelenidae.